CGUGUAGGCGGUCGGUCAAGUCCGAUGUGAAAGCCCGGGGCUCAGCCUCGGAAGUGCAUCGGAAACUAGCCGGCUGGAGCGCGAUAGAGGAGGGUAGAAUUCCUGGUGUAGCGGUGAAAUGCGUAGAUAUCAGGAGGAAUACCGGCGGCGAAGGCGGCCCUCUGGAUCGUUGCUGACGCUGAGACGCGAAAGCGUGGGGAGCAAACAGGAUUAGAUACCCUGGUAGUCCACGCGGUAAACGAUGGGUACUAGGUGUUCGGGGUAUUGACCCCCUGAGUGCCGCAGCUAACGCAUUAAGUACCCCGCCUGGGGACUACGGCCGCAAGGUUAAAA
RNAcentral lists this ribosomal RNA (333 nucleotides) under uncultured bacterium. RNAcentral's name for it is "bacterial SSU rRNA". It matches the Rfam family "Bacterial small subunit ribosomal RNA", at positions 568 to 899 of the family's 1533-position model. The record is from RNAcentral.